ACGCGGCAGAGACCGUGCGACAAACGGAGAUCCCGGUGGCCUGCGUGGAAAAGGCCCGGCGAUUGACCGCUCGAUUCCUCCGGCCGAGGGACAGUGUGAAGGAGGGUGAAGCAACGAAGGAACAGAGGGGAUCUCCUACGAAGCAACCUAGGUCUUGGGCCCAGGUGACUCGGGGGAGAAAAGGGUAUCGAUGAGAGUAGUGGUAAAUUUUUGAGAAAGAGAUUGCUCGUCUCUAGAAGAAGUUCUUAGAGGCAAUGGUUGAGGAAUAUGAGAGCGUAUGCGAAUGGUGGAAUUUCUUGGUAGUAGCUUGUUGCUCGAGUUCACUCUCAAAGAAUUGAAGGUGAGGCUGAAAAUAUCAAAUAAAUUAAUUCAAGAUCAUCCUAUUGUUUGGUUGUUGCUGCCUAGAUUCUUGCUCUUGAACGAUGGCGUCCAAAGUUACUGAUCGACCGUGGAUUCCAUAAGGCACAUUACCAAGAACAAGUGACAUAACUAAUUACCACCCUCGGUAAUAAUGGCUCAUCUGGCGGGUAAUAGCAAUAAUAAGUGUUAUAAUAAUUGAUAAGGGCCACUCAUAAAUACUAAAUUAUAAUAUUAAAAAGAAAUUGUUUUUAUAUCCAAAUUGUUGAUGAAUUCUAUUUUAUCCUUUGUUUAGCAUUUUUUAUUUUAUACUUUAAUUAUCUAUAGGUCUCUAUUUUAGAAGUAGUGUUAAUAUAGAUUUCUUCUAUCAUAAUUUAAACUAUAUCUUAUUCUUAUUCAGAUUCAUCUUCUUUGAAUGAUGGUAUGAUGGUGGUGAAAAUUUUAAAAGAUCAAGAUAUUGGAAUCUGUUGGGGGAAAAAUGGAUUACUCAAAGCACGUGGUCAAAUAGCCGGCACUUAAUGAUGAACGUGACGACAACA
RNAcentral lists this long non-coding RNA (896 nucleotides) under Phoenix dactylifera (date palm). RNAcentral describes it as "long non-coding RNA (PDAC_LNC003125)". The record is from RNAcentral. Lineage: Eukaryota; Viridiplantae; Streptophyta; Magnoliopsida; Arecales; Arecaceae.